This 273-nucleotide ribosomal RNA is filed under the name uncultured bacterium. RNAcentral's name for it is "partial 16S ribosomal RNA". It matches the Rfam family "Bacterial small subunit ribosomal RNA", at positions 524 to 796 of the family's 1533-position model. The record is from RNAcentral.
UACGGAGGGAGCUAGCGUUGUUCGGAAUUACUGGGCGUAAAGCGCACGUAGGCGGCUUUUCAAGUCAGGGGUGAAAUCCCGGGGCUCAACCCCGGAACUGCCCUUGAAACUGGAUGGCUAGAAUACUGGAGAGGUGAGUGGAAUUCCGAGUGUAGAGGUGAAAUUCGUAGAUAUUCGGAAGAACACCAGUGGCGAAGGCGACUCACUGGACAGUUAUUGACGCUGAGGUGCGAAAGCGUGGGGAGCAAACAGGAUUAGAUACCCCGGUAGUCC